GACGAACGCUGGCGGCGUGCCUAAUACAUGCAAGUUGAGCGAUGAAGAUUUGUUCUUUCACCAAUUUGAAUAGCAGCGGACGGGUGAGUAACGCGUGUGGAAUCUGCCUUUGAGCGGGGGACAACAUUUGGAAACGAAUGCUAAUACCGCAUAAUAACUUUAAACAUAAGUUUUAAGUUUGAAAGAUGCAAUUGCAUCACUCAAAGAUUAUCCCGCGUUGUAUUAGCUAGUUGGUGAGGUAAAGGCUCACCAAGGCGAUGAUACAUAGCCGACCUGAGAGGGUGAUGGGCCAAAAUGGGAAUGGGACAAGGGCCAAAAUCAUACGGGAGGGAGCAGUAGGGAAACGUCGGAAAUGGACGAAAGUCUGAACGAGAAAAGACGAGUGAGUGAAGAAGGUUUUCGGAUCGUAAAACUCUGUUGGUAGAGAAGAAAGUUGGUGAGAGUGGAAAGCUCAUCAAGUGACGGUAACUACACAGAAAGGGACGGCUAACUACGUG
Molecule: ribosomal RNA, 497 nt
Filed under: uncultured bacterium
Lineage: Bacteria
Description: partial 16S ribosomal RNA
Rfam family: Bacterial small subunit ribosomal RNA
Source: RNAcentral